RNAcentral lists this ribosomal RNA (492 nucleotides) under uncultured bacterium. RNAcentral describes it as "partial 16S ribosomal RNA". It matches the Rfam family "Bacterial small subunit ribosomal RNA", at positions 29 to 507 of the family's 1533-position model. The record is from RNAcentral.
AGUGAACGCUGGCGGUAGGCCUAACACAUGCAAGUCGAACGGCAGCACAGUAAGAGCUUGCUCUUACGGGUGGCGAGUGGCGGACGGGUGAGGAAUACAUCGGAAUCUACUUUUUCGUGGGGGAUAACGUAGGUAAACUUACUCUAAUACCGCAUACGACCUACGGUUGAAAGCAGGGGAUCUUCGGACCUUGCGCGAUUGAAUGAGCCGAUGUCGGAUUAGCUAGUUGGCGGGGUAAAGGCCCACCAAGUCGACGAUCCGUAGCUGGUCUGAGAGGAUGAUCAGCCACACUGGAACUGAGACACGGUCCAGACUACUACGGGAGGCAGCAGUGGGGAAUAUUGGACAAUGGGCGCAAGCCUGAUCCAGCCAUACCGCGUGGGUGAAGAAGGCCUUCGGGUUGUAAAGACCUUUUGUUGGGAAAGAAAAGCAGCAGGUUAAUACCACGCUGUUCUGACGGUACCCAAAGAAUAAGCACCGGCUAACUUCGUG